This is a non-coding RNA of Propithecus coquereli (Coquerel's sifaka), 648 nucleotides long. The record is from the annotation of a RefSeq genome assembly. NCBI's taxonomy places the organism in Eukaryota, Metazoa, Chordata, Mammalia, Primates, Indriidae.
AUGGCCUGGACCCCUCUCCUGCUCCCCCUCCUCACUCUCUGCACAGGUUCUGUGUCCUCCUUCAAGCUGACUCAGGAACCUGCAGUGUCUGUGGCCUUGGGACAGACGGCCAGGAUCAGCUGCCAGACAGACGGUAUACUAGGUAGCUUUGUACCAACAAAGUGGUACCAGCAGAAGCCAGGCCAGGCCCCUGUGCUGGUCAUCUACAGUAACAGCAACCGGCCCUCAGGGAUCCCUGAGCGAUUCUCUGGCUCCACAUCACGGAACACGGCCACCCUGAGCAUCAGCGGGGCCCAGGCCGGGGACGAGGCUGACUAUUACUGUCAGUCAUCGGGCAUUAGUGCUGCCCCAGGCUCAGCCCCCACAGCACCAGGGGUCAGCCUGGCCCCGACCUUCAGCUCAGCACAGGGGAUGCUGCAGGGUUCUGUGGCCUCCUCUGAGCUGACUCAGGUGCCUGCAGUGUCUGCGGCCUUGGCACAGACAGCCAGGAUCACCUGCCAGGCAGAGACCUUAGACAACAACUAUGCACACUGGUACCAGCAGAAGCCAGGCCAGGCCCCUGAGCUGGUCAUCUGUGAGGAUAGCAACGGCCCUCAAGGAUCCCUGAGUGAUUCUCUGGCUCGAGCUCAAGAGGAACAACUACCCUGA